Molecule: unclassified non-coding RNA, 154 nt
Filed under: uncultured fungus
Lineage: Eukaryota; Fungi
Description: sequence contains ITS1, 5.8S rRNA gene
Source: RNAcentral
CCAAUGUUCUUCGAUCGGCUCCGGCCGACCGACCACAUUACACCCCUUCUUUACGCGUACCUUUUGUUCUCCUUCGGCGGGGCGACCCGCCGCUGGAACCACAUCAAAACCUUUUUGCAUACAGCAUUACCUGUUCCGAUACCUAUAAUCGUUA